GGUUGCAAUCGCCUUAUUGUCAACUCUGAUAAUAUGGAAGUGAUUGACACAAUGAAAAAUGAAGGAAAAUCGGCGGGAGUGGUGUUCGACGAUUGCUAUUUUAUGACAUGUGAUUUUCCUGUUACUAGGUUUGAGCAUUGUAAUAGGGAAGCAAAUAAAAUUUCUCAUGAACUUACUAGGCUAGCGACAUUUUCCGAGACUAGGGAUUGGUGUGAGGAGCCAAUGGAUGACAUUGUUUCUUUUCUUAUUGCCGAUGUAACUCUUAUAUCUAAUUAA
Molecule: ribosomal RNA, 276 nt
Filed under: Triticum aestivum (bread wheat)
Lineage: Eukaryota; Viridiplantae; Streptophyta; Magnoliopsida; Poales; Poaceae
Description: partial small subunit ribosomal RNA
Source: RNAcentral